UCCCUACAAAUCCAAGUUUGUUGCUCUGGUAAUCUCUAAAAAAUCUAAGUUUACUACUCCGAUAGAUUCCCAACAUGUCGUUUACAAAUUCACGUGUACUACGCUGAUGUGUCUUCAAAAAAAAAGACAUAAUACCCUGACCACCUUGUGGUGUAGGGUAUAAAUAUAUAUCCCUCUUUUAAUGCUUUGGUCAUCUUCAAAAAUAUGCAUAAAACAUUCACGUUUAUUGCUGCGGUAAACGUCCAAAAAUAUAUUAUUAGAAUCCACGUUUAUUGCUUGUUAGGCCACUAAAAAUAACCCCUAGAGAUCCACGUUCAUUUCUUAGAUAGGCCCCCUAAAUAUUAUUUAAAAAUAUAUUAAUUUAUUUUAUUUUAAUUAACAUGUAUUGUUUACGAACAACACGGUAACCCUGUAUUCCAAUUGCCUAUCACACUGAACAUACCCUAUCAAAUUAUAUUUGACAAUUUAUAUUUGUGAAAAUUUAAAACUGAACCGGCAGCAGCAAAAACUCGGAAGGAAGAAAAUCGGGCAAAGUACAAUAACCGCGAAAAAACAACAAAAACCAUCAAUUUCAAAACGCAAUAAAAGUCAAUGGCUGGAACAAUUUUAAAAGCAGAAAAACAAGGAUUGUUAUUAAUAAAUUCUUUUCAAGCAACGAAACAGGAAGUUGGCGUUUGUGCUCUAAUGUUGUGGGCGGAAAAGAAACUAUGAUGUUGGAAUACUCCAUGGCCUCCUCCAUUGUUUGGUGGCUUGCAAAUUUCUUCACAAUUAUGGAAAGAUUGUUCGUCGUAAUAUUUGUGAAAGACAAUUGUCAUUAAAAAGAAAUGUGUCGGAAAAAAUGAAUUGUCAUGGAGAAAUAAUUGGUGUUGGAUGAAAUCAGACACAAAAUCGCGAACCGGCAAUUAUGGGCAUAAUUGGAAUCUAUUAAACUGCCAAGUCCAAUACAAUAUUGGCGAUAUGAAAGGAUGUCAUGUCCCACAAAUUCGUACUAUUUUUAAUACCAUGAAAAUGGCUUAAUCCUUGCUCAAUUCAAUACAUUUGUUGCCUUGAUCAAGGAAAUGUUUGACCGGGGCGAAACAGAACAAAGGGAAAAUUGGAACAAUUAUCCACAAUACAAAAAUAUAACAAAUGAG
Molecule: long non-coding RNA, 1133 nt
Organism: Musca domestica (house fly)
Lineage: Eukaryota; Metazoa; Arthropoda; Insecta; Diptera; Muscidae
Exons: 3
Source: RefSeq, a predicted model, not a curated record